Molecule: ribosomal RNA, 479 nt
Filed under: uncultured bacterium
Lineage: Bacteria
Description: partial 16S ribosomal RNA
Rfam family: Bacterial small subunit ribosomal RNA
Source: RNAcentral
GAUGAACGCUGGCGGCGUGCUUAACACAUGCAAGUCGAACGAAGCACCUUGAUUCGAUUCUUAGGAUGAAGAUCUUGGUGACUGAGUGGCGGACGGGUGAGUAACGCGUGGGUAACCUGCCUCAUACAGGGGGAUAACAGUUAGAAAUGACUGCUAAUACCGCAUAAGACCACAGCACCGCAUGGUGCAGGGGUAAAAACUCCGGUGGUAUGAGAUGGACCCGCGUCUGAUUAGGUAGUUGGUGGGGUAACGGCCUACCAAGCCGACGAUCAGUAGCCGACCUGAGAGGGUGACCGGCCACAUUGGGACUGAGACACGGCCCAAACUCCUACGGGAGGCAGCAGUGGGGAAUAUUGCACAAUGGGGGAAACCCUGAUGCAGCGACGCCGCGUGAGCGAUGAAGUAUUUCGGUAUGUAAAGCUCUAUCAGCAGGGAAGAAAAUGACGGUACCUGACUAAGAAGCACCGGCUAAAUACGUG